CAGAAAAUAGUUUAGUUUAGAAUUCUGGCUUUGGGAGCCAGUGGUAGGAGUUAGAAUCUCUUUUUUCUGG
Molecule: transfer RNA, 70 nt
Filed under: Pangio anguillaris
Lineage: Eukaryota; Metazoa; Chordata; Actinopteri; Cypriniformes; Cobitidae
Description: tRNA-Pro
Rfam family: tRNA
About the family: Transfer RNA (tRNA) molecules are approximately 80 nucleotides in length. Their secondary structure includes four short double-helical elements and three loops (D, anti-codon, and T loops). Further hydrogen bonds mediate the characteristic L-shaped molecular structure. tRNAs have two regions of fundamental functional importance: the anti-codon, which is responsible for specific mRNA codon recognition, and the 3' end, to which the tRNAs corresponding amino acid is attached (by aminoacyl-tRNA synthetases). tRNAs cope with the degeneracy of the genetic code in two manners: having more than one tRNA (with a specific anti-codon) for a particular amino acid; and 'wobble' base-pairing, i.e. permitting non-standard base-pairing at the 3rd anti-codon position.
Source: RNAcentral